This 64-nucleotide transfer RNA is filed under the name Atkinsoniella heiyuana. RNAcentral's name for it is "tRNA-Tyr". The record is from RNAcentral. Lineage: Eukaryota; Metazoa; Arthropoda; Insecta; Hemiptera; Cicadellidae.
AUCAAGGUGUCUGAUUAAAGUAAUAAACUGUAAAUUUAUUCAAGAAAUAGCUAUUCCCUUGAUA